RNAcentral lists this ribosomal RNA (465 nucleotides) under uncultured bacterium. RNAcentral's name for it is "partial 16S ribosomal RNA". It matches the Rfam family "Bacterial small subunit ribosomal RNA", at positions 339 to 795 of the family's 1533-position model. The record is from RNAcentral.
CUACGGGGCGCAGCAGUGGGGAAUAUUGCACAAUGGGCGCAAGCCUGAUGCAGCCAUGCCGCGUGUAUGAAGAAGGCCUUCGGGUUGUAAAGUACUUUCAGCGGGGAGGAAGGGAGUAAAGUUAAUACCUUUGCUCAUUGACGUUACCCGCAGAAGAAGCACCGGCUAACUCCGUGCCAGCAGCCGCGGUAAUACGGAGGGUGCAAGCGUUAAUCGGAAUUACUGGGCGUAAAGCGCACGCAGGCGGGUUUGUUAAGUCAGAUGUGAAAUCCCCGGGCUCGACCUGGGAACUGCAUCUGAUACUGGCAAGCUUGAGUCUCGUAGAGGGGGGUAGAAUUCCAGGUGUAGCGGUGAAAUGCGUAGAGAUCUGGAGGAAUACCGGUGGCGAAGGCGGCCCCCUGGACGAAGACUGACGCUCAGGUGCGAAAGCGUGGGGAGCAAACAGGAUUAGAUACCCUAGUAGUC